Molecule: long non-coding RNA, 594 nt
Filed under: Elaeis guineensis (African oil palm)
Lineage: Eukaryota; Viridiplantae; Streptophyta; Magnoliopsida; Arecales; Arecaceae
Description: long non-coding RNA (EGUI_LNC022858)
Source: RNAcentral
ACCUUCAUCACUAUCACCACGCAACGUCAUAUAGCUGUCAUUAUUAUCUAAUCACCAUCAUCAUCACUCCACCUCUAUCAUACUGCUAGCAUCUCUACUAUUAUCAUUACUGCUAUUAAUACAUCAUCACUGUGAUUACCACUAUCUCUGCGAUAUAACCGAUACUCCUGGCCACCACCAUCAAUGCCACUACUUCCACCGCACCACUAUAACUAUUACCAUCACCUUCACAUUAUUGCUGGUGUCCUUACCUCUACCGACCACCAUCAAUGCCACUACUUCCACCGCACCACUAUAACUAUUACCAUCACCUUCACAUUAUUGCUGGUGUCCUUACCUCUACCGCUACUGCCACCACUAUUAUCACCAUCUCUUAUCAUACCGUCAUCGCCUUCACACACCAACAUAAGUAAUACUUCCACCACCAACAUACCAUAGUCCGAUAUUGUCCGACUACCACCUUCCACUACCAUUGCAAGCAUUGCCAUCACCAUCACCCCCACCACCAUGGCUAUCUUUACCAUACAACUGUCAUCAUCAUUACUGCCUCUAUUAUAUUGCCACGCCUCCACCAUCAUCAUAUAUUGUAGUUAU